This 311-nucleotide ribosomal RNA is filed under the name Dickeya sp. CFBP 2040. Its description in RNAcentral is "partial 23S ribosomal RNA". It matches the Rfam family "Bacterial large subunit ribosomal RNA", at positions 1 to 314 of the family's 2925-position model. The record is from RNAcentral. Lineage: Bacteria; Pseudomonadati; Pseudomonadota; Gammaproteobacteria; Enterobacterales; Pectobacteriaceae.
GAGGUUAAGCGACUAAGCGUACACGGUGGAUGCCUAGGCAGUCAGAGGCGAUGAAGGGCGUGCUAAUCUGCGAAAAGCGUCGGCAAGGUGAUAUGAACCGUUAUACCCGACGAUACCCGAAUGGGGAAACCCAGUGUGAUCCGUCACACUAUCAUUAACUGAAUCCAUAGGUUAAUGAGGCGAACCGGGGGAACUGAAACAUCUCAGUACCCCGAGGAAAAGAAAUCAACCGAGAUUCCCCCAGUAGCGGCGAGCGAACGGGGAGGAGCCCAGAACCUGAAUCGGCUUGUGUGUCAGUGGAAGCGUCUGGA